GCAGUAGCCACGGGAAUACGUAGGGUGCAAGCGUUAAUCGGAAUUACUGGGCGUAAAGCGUGCGCAGGCGGUUUGUUAAGACAGAUGUGAAAUCCCCGGGCUCAACCUGGGAACUGCAUUUGUGACUGGCAAGCUAGAGUAUGGCAGAGGGGGGUGGAAUUCCGCGUGUAGCAGUGAAAUGCGUAGAUAUGCGGAGGAACACCGAUGGCGAAGGCAGCCCCCUGGGCCAAUACUGACGCUCAUGCACGAAAGCGUGGGGAGCAAACAGGAUUAGAUACCCCUGUAGUCCCUGUCUCUUAUAC
RNAcentral lists this ribosomal RNA (302 nucleotides) under uncultured bacterium. RNAcentral's name for it is "partial 16S ribosomal RNA". It matches the Rfam family "Bacterial small subunit ribosomal RNA", at positions 508 to 807 of the family's 1533-position model. The record is from RNAcentral.